RNAcentral lists this ribosomal RNA (717 nucleotides) under uncultured archaeon. Its description in RNAcentral is "bacterial SSU rRNA". It matches the Rfam family "Archaeal small subunit ribosomal RNA", at positions 151 to 851 of the family's 1478-position model. The record is from RNAcentral.
UCUCGAUAGGUGAAGAACUCUGGAAUGAGUCUUUGCCAAAAAGAUGCUAGAGUUAUGCUCUUUGGCAUCGCCCAAGGAUGAGGCCGCGACCGAUCAGGUUGUUGGUGAGGUAAUGGCUCACCAAGCCUUUUACCGGUGCGGGCCGUGAGAGCGGGAGCCCGGAGAUGGGCACUGAGACAAGGGCCCAGGCCCUACGGGGCGCAGCAGUCGCGAAAACUUUGCAAUACACGAAAGUGUGACAGGGCUAUCCCGAGUGCCAUCCGCUGAGGAAGGCUUUUACCCAGUCUAGAACGCUGGGGGAAUAAGGAGAGGGCAAGUCUGGUGUCAGCCGCCGCGGUAAUACCAGCUCUCCGAGUGGUGUGGAUGUUUAUUGGGCCUAAAGCAUCCGUAGCUGGCUAAGUUAGUCCCUUGUUAAAUCCACCGAAUUAAUCGUUGGAUUGCGGGGGAUACUGCUUGGCUAGGGGACGAGAGAGGCAGACGGUAUUUCCGGGGUAGGGGUGAAAUCCUAUAAUCCCGGGAAGACCACCAGUGGCGAAGGCUGUCUGCUAGAACGCGCCCGACGGUGAGGGAUGAAAGCUGGGGGAGCGAACCGGAUUAGAUACCCGGGUAGUCCCAGCUGUAAACGAUGCAGGCUAGGUGUUUGGACGGCCACGUGCCGUUCUAGUGCCGCAGGGAAGCUGUUAAGCCUGCCGCCUGGGGAGUACGAUCGCAAGAUUG